RNAcentral lists this ribosomal RNA (930 nucleotides) under Pseudozyma sp. RNAcentral describes it as "partial large subunit ribosomal RNA". The stretch from base 1 to 627 matches the Rfam family "Eukaryotic large subunit ribosomal RNA", at positions 56 to 664 of the family's 3401-position model. The record is from RNAcentral. Lineage: Eukaryota; Fungi; Basidiomycota; Ustilaginomycetes; Ustilaginales; Ustilaginaceae.
GGAAAGAUUCACGUUAUGGCGGGAUCCCCUAGUACGGCGGUGAGCGGUCUAGCCCAACCUUGAAAGCCCCCGCUUCGGAAUUUGAAGGUAGUCUCAAGAGGAACGUGCCCUUCUAAGUCUAUUGUAAAAUGCUUGCAAAGGGGGAGAUAACCGCGUGUGAUUCAACACCAUACAUAUCUUCCCCCUCCAAAGAGUCGAGUUGUUUUCUAAGACACGAGUUAAGUGGGGAAUAAAUUCCAUCUAAAGCUAAAUAUUGAUCUAAGACCUAAAUAUUGCAAGGACAGUGAUGGAAAACAAGAAAGCACUUUGAAAAGAGAGAAAAAAAUUGCAAGAAAAUGUAAACAGUACGUUUUUUUUUUUUUAAGCACAACUUUUUGUUGAGAAACGCGUUCUGGGAUUCAGCCUAAAAGUUGUUUGAAGUUUGUUCCGGAGUGCUGGUCAACGCUGAUACCUCCCCACCCUCAAGAGGCCUGGGAAUCUGGCACGCUGGGGGGAUGGUUGUAGCCUUCUAGUCUUGACAAGGGCCCCAGACCGAGGACAGCAGCGUACUCGCAAGAGCGGGCCUUCGGGCACCUUUACGCUUAGGGCGUUGGCAUAAUGGCCCUCUACCACCCGUCUUGAAAACGGGACCCACCAUGAAACAGGGGUGGUUUGUAAAAAAAAACCUGUCGAGAGUAAACAACAUUCCCCGCCGGAGCGUGUUAAAAUAUACAUCCGUCAGUGCGAAAGCUUUACGCGUUUUAGCUAGGUUCUGUAGCGCCGUAAAACAAAACCCAAAAAGGUCUCUUAUGAAAAAUCUCUCUUGUGAGUAAAAGACCAAAAUAGAGGCGUCGUUCUAUGAGCUAAGAGAAGAGGGUUUUCUACACGACUCAUCUAUACCCGGGGUCAACAUAUGAUUCUCUGUCAAGACCCUUACGAAGCGCGGUGCUA